GUGUCAGUUGUUGAAAUGAAGACUGAAUAUGAUAUCUGGUUUCACACGUUUGUAUGAAGUUGUGGGUUUAAGAGGUCUGUUCUUUUUCAGGGAAGCAAACAUGAACGAUUCUGCUGCUUCUGAUGACGUCUGUCUGAUCCAGUCAUCCACAUCCAACAAGCCAAAAAUUACUGAUCUUUGGAAGCAUCUCAAGCAAAAAUGCUGGAGACACGGCAAGAAAGAGAAGGGCUGUGGCAACUAUGUCCAUAUAAUGGAAGCAAACAUGAACGAGUCUGCUGCUUCUGAUGAUGUCGGUCUGAUCCAGUCAUCCAAAUCCACCAAGCCAAAACAUCCUGAUCUUUGGAAGCAUCUCAAGCAAAAAUUCUGGAGACGUGGCAAGAAAGGGAAGGGCUGUGGCAACAAUUUCUAUAUCAUGGAAGCAAACAUGAACGAGUCUGCUGCUUCUGAUGACGUCGGUCUGAUCCAGUCAUCCACAUCCACCAAGCCAUAAAAUCCCGAUCUUUGGAAGCAUCUCGAACAAAAAUGCUGGAGACGUGGCAAGAAAGGGAAGGGCUGUGGCAACAAUGUCCAUAUCAUGUAAGGACGAGAAAAAAUCCCUUCGGAAUGUCGUGACAUGAAACGUUUAAGCAAUAGAAAUGGUGUUCCUUUCAGGAAAUUGAAGCUAUUCCUGUCGUUUCACAAUCACAUUUUGCUCCUUAAUUAUUUGG
This 707-nucleotide long non-coding RNA is filed under the name Eptatretus burgeri (inshore hagfish). RNAcentral's name for it is "lncRNA (ENSEBUG00000017275.1)". The record is from RNAcentral. Lineage: Eukaryota; Metazoa; Chordata; Myxini; Myxiniformes; Myxinidae.